This is a long non-coding RNA of Puntigrus tetrazona (Sumatra barb), 1584 nucleotides long. RefSeq lists it as uncharacterized. The record is from RefSeq and is a predicted model, not a curated record. NCBI's taxonomy places the organism in Eukaryota, Metazoa, Chordata, Actinopteri, Cypriniformes, Cyprinidae. The transcript is spliced from 5 exons.
UUGUGAAGCAGUGCUCUGCGUCCUGCUGAAUGAUCUCCGGUGGGCUUCAGCAUCAGAAAUGCUCCCAGAUUUUUCCACACGUCACAGAACGAGGCAGACCCCGCGGGAAAACACACGCGCGCGCGCGCGCGAGCACGCCGACAGAGAGCUGCGCGUCAUCAGGAAUCAUACAAAGUUACAGAAACAUAAAAGCAGCUGCGCGAUAAGUUUUUUUCCCCCCCCCUCACGGUUAUUUAUAUAUGGUGAAUUCUGGUUUUGGUACAUUUUCUGUCGACAAAAUAGCAAAACGGUUAAAAAUAUUAUUACAUGUUUUCUCGUCAAAUAGGAUAGAAAUCACAUGCUUCCCGUCGAAAUAUCUGUUUAUGCUCCACAGAAGAAAUGUAGGUUUGUGACGAAGCCUCUGUCCCUACUUCCUGUUGACACGAGAUGAAUGUCCAUCACAUCCUGUCUCCAGCGCCGGUGCCUGGUGUUCGCGGCCUGAUUGACAGAUGAAUGAAUGGAGCCAAAGCUAUCUUCUCUAACAGAGACGUGACUGUUUCCCGUCUGCGGACGUGACGGCACUCAUCUCGAAGGACUCCUUGCUGGAGUUUUUGUGUCUGAGAAAAGCUUUUGCUCUUGUCAGCUGCCGCCGCUCCGGAUGGAGAGCAUGGAGGCGAUUCUUCAGCUGAAGCUGAAAUUCACUGCCCUUCACGGAGUGACGGACGUCAGGCUAAAUCACAGCCCUCUUCUGCACUGCAGAGUUAAUCAGCGUCACCGACACCGCAGGAACGUCUUCACACCGCUCAAUUUUCAGAACGAAAGGAGCUCGAGAGACUUGUUACAGACAGCAAGCCGUGGGGUCGCCAGAGCAGAAAUUCAGGGAUCUGCAAGAGCACAGGCUCAGCUGUAUCAGGUAUCUGGCAGAGAUAAACCACACCUUUGGGUUUACCACAACAGAAGAGUAAUGGAAGGCAACAAACAAAUCCACAGCUUAAACGGGGUCACCUCAUGAGCACUGAAAGCAUGGACGAACACAACAAAUAUGGGAUUUAAGGAUCUGAUUAUAUUGCACUGAUCCUCUCCUGGGGUGGUGUUAAGAAAAAGCUAAAGGAACACGACUUCAUCGUCUGGCAGAAGUUAUAUGCAAAAGAACCGGAUUUGCAGUUUCAAAACCAGACUUUCAUUUUUCUGAGGUAAAUGUGAGUGGGUCUCGCUCACGAUGCUGAGCGCUGUGGAAGGUUUCCAGAGCGUUGCUGCAAAAGCUUUCCGAGUCGUUUUAACAUGUUGCUAUGCGGUUGCUAUACUAGCCUAAAUCCGCCUGAUACUGUGGUCUGCACACAGUUUUCACAGUAUGGUUUCACAAACUAUCAAACACAUUGAAUUGAAUCUUACUCCAAUAAUCUUUGAAUAACCUUUUUUUACAGUUUGGGUUUCCUUUCUUAGUAAAUCUAUGGCGGAUUUUCAUGUUUUGUUUUGUUUUUGUCGGUAAACACCAAUGUAUUUCAGUUUAGAACUAUAUUUUCCUAAAUUUUAGAGAUCUCUGUUUCACUAAAAAAGCAUUUUCCCAUUCCAAACAGAAUAAAUUCAAAGUAAAUUCAAAAAUAA